RNAcentral lists this unclassified non-coding RNA (404 nucleotides) under Hevea brasiliensis (rubber tree). Lineage: Eukaryota; Viridiplantae; Streptophyta; Magnoliopsida; Malpighiales; Euphorbiaceae. The record is from RNAcentral.
AGAAGUCUCUCGUUUGGGUAGAGGGAGAUGCAGAAGCCUUGAGCUUUGAAGACAACUCAAUGGAUGGAUACACAAUUGCUUUUGGUAUCAGGAAUGUUACACACAUAGAGAAAGUUCUUGCAGAAGCAUAUAGGGUGCUUAAAAGGGGAGGAAGGUUUCUCUGCCUUGAACUAAGCCACGUUGAUAUCCCGGUUUAUAAGGACUUAUAUGAUGUCUACUCAUUCUCAGUCAUCCCAGCAGUUGGUGAGCUAGUGACAGGUGAUCGAGAGUCUUAUCAGUACUUGGUUGAGAGUGUCCGCCGUUUCCCUCCACAGGAACAAUUUGCAAAAAUGAUUGCAGAUGCUGGAUUUCAAAAGGUAGAAUACGAGAACCUUGUUGGUGGAGUUGUCGCAAUCCAUUCAGGG